UACAGAGGGGGCAAGCGUUGUUCGGAAUUACUGGGCGUAAAGGGCGCGUAGGCGGCCUGUUAAGUCGAACGUGAAAUCCCUGGGCUCAACCCAGGAACUGCGUCCGAUACUGGCAGGCUUGAAUCCGGGAGAGGGAUGCGGAAUUCCAGGUGUAGCGGUGAAAUGCGUAGAUAUCUGGAGGAACACCGGUGGUGAAGGCGGCAUCCUGGACCGGCAUUGACGCUGAGGCGCGAAAGUGUGGGGAGCGAACAGG
Molecule: ribosomal RNA, 253 nt
Filed under: uncultured bacterium
Lineage: Bacteria
Description: partial 16S ribosomal RNA
Rfam family: Bacterial small subunit ribosomal RNA
Source: RNAcentral